RNAcentral lists this long non-coding RNA (30278 nucleotides) under Gallus gallus (chicken). The record is from RNAcentral. Lineage: Eukaryota; Metazoa; Chordata; Aves; Galliformes; Phasianidae.
GGAUACAUCUCUUCAUUUCUGCUUUGACUAUCACAUGCACUCAUUUGGGUGCUCAUCACUCUUGAAAAGAGCAUUCCACUGUCUCUGCCACUUCUCUUUGUCUUUCCCAGCGCUGCAUGAAAUGAGGCAAUUCAAUACCUCAGCAUUGAGCUCUUGCUGCUGUCACCAUUGCUUUUAUCCCCGGGCUUCAAACUCCCUUACCUCACAUAUUGCUGCUAAAAUUUUUCUUGAAAUCAGAGAAUGGUGUGGAGGGCAAGAGAAAAGAGGCACCUUUGUAUGGCAAGUGACAAGCUCAUUGUGUACCUAUAAAGUUUCAUAAGCUCUUAUAUUUUUGACCUUGAAAUUGAGUUGUACUUAAUUGCUCUUGUAUCCAAGAGCUUGGAGAUAGUGCAAGAAGCAAUUGGUAAAGAUUGGUCCCCAUUACCUGGGAGUUCACUGGGCCCUUUUCUAGUCUGAAGAAUAAAGCUCUGGGCUGAAAGAUAAGGAAUGUUGGCGUUUUUCUGGACUAUUAAACUAUCUUUAUGCUUUCUUGCUAUCCAUUUGAAAGUAACGAUAGGCAUCUCUAACCACUUGGACUUGGACUGAGACCAUCAAUCCAUAUUGCAGACAACAGAGAGCGAGAAGUAACUAGUAAAGCCUUCUGCUUACAGUGAUCCUGGAAUGGAUUUGACCUGUGCAUUACCUUACAAACCCCAUAGUAUCAUGGUUCUCUCCUAUAGUUAUUCUAAUGAGCUGAAAAAACUGUUUUGGACAUACUUUAAAGUGUUGUUGAGACAUAAAUACACUUUAAGUGAGGACUACAUAAUGUUUUCCUGUUUGUGCAUAAAAAAUAAUGGAGCAGUAAGCCAGUGACCCAGAGGUGAAAGUCUUUGCAUUCUAUAUUGUCAAUUUAUUACACAUGCAAAAUUUAAGUAUAUAACUUAAUUCCAGUGCAGUUAUGUUGUCUUGGUGUGUUUCUUCUAGUCUAUUUUUCAGUAAUUUAAAUUCUAAGCACUCUUUCAGCUCAGCAGUCUGCCAUAGAGCAGCUAACCAUGUUCCUUGCUAUUGCUGGGAGCUUCUUACUCUAUAAUCACCGAUGAAUGGUUAUUCCCACCCCUGUGUCCUAGCGGAGAUACUGCAUCUACUCUAUUUAUCUACUCUAGUGGAUAGACAUUCCAGAGAUGCUUCUGCAGCCCUGUAUUACAUAUAACUAGGCUAAAGCCAAGUUGCCACUAUGCAGUACUCAAGUGCAGAGCUUCUCCUAAAGGCAUCAGUUUUAUGGGCCAGGUGCAAAAAUCUGUGGAAAUCAGUCAACAGCAUAGUUUUGUUUCAAUCAGAGGAGAGCAGAAAUUAAGCUUCAGUAUUUCAUUUUCUGGGCAUAAAUAGCUGUGUGCAGCUGUAAAGCACACAUGCAUUAAGCCUAAUAGCUACAGAACAGAUUGGACUUGCAGUGCUGGACACCUUCCCAAGUGAGUCCCUUGUGUGCCUGGAAUGUGCUGCAAGAAAUGGGUGAGCUGCGUUGGCAGCCUGAGACUGUAGAACAUGUGUAAAUCCAGCAUUUCCAGGGGAAAAUGCUUGUUUUCCUUGCCUGCACAGAGCAGACCUGUUCAAGCAGCAUGGAAAUGCCUGAAAUUUCCAGGCUUGCAGCAGGUGACUGGAUCCCAUAGUAUCACAGAAAGGCUUGGAUUGGAAGGGACCUUAAAGAGCAUUUAGUUCCAACCCCCUGCCCUGGGCAGGGUUGCCAACCACUAAAUAGGGCACCAGAUCAGGCUGCCCAAGGCCCCAUCCAACCUGGCCUUGAACACCUCCAGGGAUGGGGCAUAUCUGACUAGAGCCAAAAUACAUCAGAAAUCUAGGAGAAAUAUAAAAAUCCUUCUUGUUUUUAUUUUUAUUUUUAUUUUUUCAAUUUAUUUUGUUCCCCAGAAUGAAAGCCAAAUGACUCCAGACAGACAGUAGUGUUAGCAGAGACAGUACCUAGGAGGCUCUGUCCAUUACUUUGCUCUCAAUCAGUAGUUCAUUUUUGCUGUGAUGGGAAUAGUGGGCCCCAUGCAGCUUUCUCUAAGCACUCCGCUGCUCCCAGCUUUUCUUUUCUGUUCCCUGAUUAAUUUGUCAUGAUGCAGACUAGGAGACAAGGGCUUAGUAGUACAGCAAGUAAAAUUGUUCUGCAGGCUAUAGAUUGAGGCAACUUUGCAUUCAGAGUUUAGGCGAGAGUAUCACAGAUGGGCUUGGGGGUGGGUUUGGUGGUCUAGCUAAGAAAUGAGUCAUCUUGAUUUGGAGGCAAGAUAUCAGAUUUAACAUGCCAGUGGUCUGUUUCUGCAUGACAAGUAGCCUCUCCUCUCGAAUUAAAACAGUAAAACUGAGUUAAUAACUGACCAAAACAGAACCACCUCAGAAGAAAGUAAGAACAUUACCAACAAGUUGUGGUCUGGUAAAUAGUUCAGACAUUUCCAUGUCUCCAGUACAAAUAUUGUUUUAUCCAUGCAAAUUCCAUUACAUCUCCAACCCUUUGGAGCCCGUUCCUCUUUGUAAGAUGAAAAGAUAAAACAUGAGGAAAGAAAACAUAUAUCUCAUGAAUUAACUGGUUACUACUAUGGGUUGAUGGCUGGACUAGAUGUUCUUACUGGUCUUUCCAAACUUAGUGACUCUAUGAUUCUGUUCUCUUUUGUGUGGGUUUGCAAGUGGUAGACUCCAUAAUCCUAGACCCUAUUGCAUCCUAGAGGCUGCUUUAGAGUAAGUAUGCUCAUUUCAGUGAAAACAGUGGCUAAUUUCGGUUUUGUGUUGUCCAGACACUGUUACUGUAAACAGCAUUACUUCAGUUGUUGUUAAUAAAACACUCUAAUGUAAUCAUUAUUUACCUGUCCCGUGUCCUCCCAGCUGCAGCUCAUGUCUAUGCAAUUAGAAUUAACGCAAACCACUUAAAACUUGAAUGCCUAGUUUAUUUUCAAAUGGGAAGGUCAGCAUCAUUAUCCUUGGUGUAUUCAAUUACCAAAUCCUACAUAAUCACAGAGCAUGCUUCCUGUCUGCUAAUCAUGACUUGCUCUGCAUACAUUAUGUGCAAAUAUAACCAAAACAAGAGGUGGCAUUUCCAUAUGUUUUGUUCCUGUAAUUACUUCUCACAGGUUGCAUUUAACUUUCUUAGUAUAAUGUAAAUUCCUUUUAUUGACUCUGUAUUUAAAAAAAAAAAACCACGAAAGAAUAAUAAAACCCAGUGGCAAGUAAAAAUAGGAAAGCAUCUGUAUGCAAUUAAUCCUUCUGCUCCAUUUAGACCCCACAGAAUCUCAGAAUGUAAGUCACAAGAGUAGAACAAAGUUGUUAGAGUUGUUGCAUUUGGAAACACCUCUCACAAAGAGCAGGGUGUGUAAUUAAUAGCCUUGGAAUUAUUUUGUUGGCUUUGGUUUAGUUCUGCUUAAGGAAGAGAAUUCUAAUAAACCUGUAUUCAAUGUUUUUCUUCACCGCUGGAUUUUUCGCAGCUUUUGUAAACAAAAAUCCUAAUGACAAGAAAGGAGAGUAUUAACACACAAUAAAAAAUGUAAUCACCUAAUUAAAUGUAAACAUCCUCUGAAGGAAGAAAUUGCAUUUUGGUCUAGAAAGUAAAUCUACAACCAGUAUGAAACCAACAGGUGUCUUUCCCAGAGCUCAGUCAAUUUUCAGUAUAAGCUGUUCUAUAUGUGCCUGCUCUGUGUUACACUUAUGCUCCAAAGUAUUAGAAGCAAAACGUUUUUUAUGUUCUUGGAAAUAACUAUUCUCUCAUCUCCCUUCCUCAUGCAUUUGUGUGUGUAUAGCACAAACAUACUUUUUUGAGCUCAAGACUCUGAAGUAGAGCUGUUUGCUUCACCUUCUGCCUUAGGUUUUUCUAUCCUUACCAUUAGGACAUGUGGAACAUCCUUCCUUUUGGAACACUAUAGUAAUACUCCAUCUGGAUUCCAAAUAUCAUAGAUGAACAUUAGGGCAAGGUAAAUCUCUCGUUUCUAUUUUGUUUAUGCCUAGUAUUUCCAGAUGAAAAUGUUUUUGAUAGCUGAUGUUGCAAAGUUGAUAUAGCACCUGUUUUUAUUCUUUUCUCUAACUCUCUGAAAGGAGGUUGUGGCAAGGUGGGAGUCAGCCUGUGCUCCCAGAUAAUAAAUGAGAGGUAAUGGCCUUAAGUUACACUAGGGGAGGUUCAGGUUGAAUGUUAGGAAACAUUUCUUCUCUGAAGGAGUGGUAAUGCAUUGGCACAGGCUGCCCCAGGUUGGUGGUGGAGUCACUGUCCCUGGAGGUGUUCAAGAGCUGUGGAGAUGUGGCACUGAGGGACAUGGUUAGUGGCAUGGUGGGGAUGGAUUGAGGUUAAGCUAGGUGAUCUUGGAGUUCUUCUCCAGCCUUGAUGAUUCUAUCAUUCGUUGAUCAUUCAACCCCCAAAACAGUAAGGAAAUCAGUUCCCAUGUUUGACCAGCCUUAGGAGAUGUUGCAUGACUGUGGUUCUUACUUCUCAAAAGGUUGCUUUUCACUGAAGCCUGCGCUGAAGCUACUCUAAAGAUCAGGCUUUCUGUCUGUUAAAGCUUCAGACCUUUUACUGGCUUCCUACCGAAACAGACCCUACAAGCCACACAUAGAAGAGUUGCUGGUCCCUGAGCUUCCUGCAAGACCGUGGAUUUUCUCAAAGGAGCCACACACAGGGAAGGUGGGUGGACUGGGAAAUAGGCUGUGUGCUCAAGGUUGCUCUUCUGAUUACCCACUGUAGAGAAUGAGUGCUAUUGCAAGAGGUGAAAUGCACGACCAGAGACUGGGUGUCUGGAAACACUGUUAUUGACUUGUAUGUGUGAUAACUGUGGGUUAUACACAGAAGACAAAACAACUGUUACUGUAACAACUGGCAAAAUUAUUCUGAGAAAUAAUCUUUUUAUAAUUCCUACUAACAGAUUUAAGUCUUUUUAACAUUUGAAAUGUUUCAUAGGCUUGUGUUCUUAUGCCAGAAAGUUCAACCUCACAAAAAGGAGAAAGGAAAGAUAUUAACAUAUAUAUGCACAAAGUAAGACAAAGAUAUUUAUUUAUGCAUUUGACAUUUUUAAACAUUCAAAUUCCCUUUAGAUUUUACUAAAUGUUCUCUUUGUGUUUAUUCAAACAAUUUUAUUUGCCAUUUUCUGAGAGAGGCUUUGAGCCCAGGAUAAUGAAAAUGGUUGAGUCUUUCAUGUGAGUCUCCUUUGGCCAAAGAAUUUCACUGGAUCAGAAUUGAAUAUUCUUUAAAUGUAAAAAUAAGAGGUGAAAGGUACUAAGUCACAAUUAUCAGGAUAAAAUGAACAUCAAGGAUGUUCAUCAAAGACUUUUUACAAGGCUUCACUCCUCCAUGCCGUCAAUAUUAGAGACAUUUUCAGAGAUGAACAUGGGGAAAACAUAAAAAUUAAUGUGGAAUGCAAUGGGCCUGAUUUGGACUUUACUUUCUCUCAGACUUUGGUAAAAAUAAUUGUACAGGUUUUGGUGGUACAACAUAUUGUUAAAUUAGAGUAGUUUUGAUGAGGAUCAGUCUCACCAUCUAUGCGAUUCUGUGGAGAGUGGGAUUAUGUUUAUCAACAAGCAAAGGAUUGUGUUCAUUUUCCUUUUAAACGUGAGUCACCUGAAACUCCCACCAGGUAGUGUUACUACAAGGUGCAAAGAUUUGCUUUGAGACUGUUUCCAAUACAUCAAUAACUAUUCAAGCCUGAAAUUAAGAGACCCCCUACAGCUUCACAGGCUAAAUAAUUCCCUGCCUCAAAGAGUUUCAGCGAAGAGCUUUGGAAAUACUGGGAGAGAUUAAUUCUAGGGUGGGAUUUGCCUCCUUCAGCUUCAGACAUUUCAAUGUGGUUUUCUGCCUGUGAGUUCCUGCUGCAGUCAUUAGAGGGGCAAAAUAGACACUUUUCUGGUGUGAUUUAUCUGACUAGUUUUAGAUGUCUACCUUAGGAUGGGAUGAAUCCUGCCCCAGAAGCACCUUCCUUUGUUCUAAAGUGAGUAUCAAAAGACUCACUCAGAUGUGGAGAUGUACUUUGUAGAUGUCUAAAGAUAGGAGAGAUGAAUCUUGUCAAAACCCACAAAGCUUGUAGUCUUAUGAACAUUGAUAGAAUUUAGAUGGGUAAAGUCCUUUAGAACCUAUGCAUUAAAAUGUUCAGAAACCCCUCCGAGAAGGGUGAUCUGAGUUCCUAUAGUAAAUGGAAGCAAAAUAGAGUUUCACUGCUGGAUGACACUCAUCCAAGCUGUGAUUUUACAAACUACUGUGACAUCUUGACAGGUAGCAAGGUCUUUGUCAUGCUUUCCCACAUCUUCUGAACUUGCCAGGAGGGCUCUUCACAGGGUGUCUGGCCCCAUUUUUGUGACCUUUGUCUGAAGGCAGCACCCACUUUGUUCAAGAUCAUUUAUGUAGUCAGUGUCCCAUUUCAGCUCCCUGCCCUGCUCUUCCUCAUCUUACAGUGCCAGCUACUGCUUCUGGCUGUUUUCCAUUGACUAAUGAUGGGGCUGUCUAAUUCAGUGCUGACUGUGAGGGUUCCAUAUUAAUAUCCGUGACAAACAGAUGUUGAUACAGUGCCUUUAGAAGGUGAAAAACUCCCUGCAGUUACUUCAUGGUGAGACUCUUUCCUCUGGUGUUGUCCUGCUCCCUCUGGCCCUUGAUAUGGUGUUGGGUAUCCAUCUGGCUCCACUCAUCUCUCUUCCUCAAUGGGGUCAAGCUAUUUCUUCUCAGCAGGGGCUUGCUCUUGAUCCUACAGUUCUGUGAAAGGAAGGCAGGAUGGGACAUGUUCACAGCAUAAUAUGUUUUUCUACUGGCAGGCAAGUGUUAUACGAGAAUGCGGGAAGGUCACAUCACACAACUUUCCUUGCUGGGGUGAAAAAAGAGCAGUCCAUCUAUCCUUAAAGAGCAACUUUUGAAUUAAUUGCAAUUCAUACUGUGGAUCUGAAUAGAACUUUAUUCUUUAUAAAUCCAAGAGUUGGGACUCCUCUACAGAUUCUGGAUAUCAUUGCCUGGUGAAGGUCAGAGGCCAGUUACUCAGUCACUCCGUUUCAAUUCCAGAGUUUGCUGAUUGUGAACAGAUUAAUGAUGCAUUUCCCUUCACUACAAAAUUAUCUUGGGGUAUUAACCCUCAUUUCUGGUAUCUUCAAAAGCAGCCUUACAUCUGUGCCUCAUCUCUCUUAGCAAAGGGUUUGCAAAUGAUUUUCUUUAUAUAGAAGUGGUUAUUGAUUAUUUGCAUUAAAAAAAAAUAAAUACUGUGGAACAGCUAAUUUCUUACCUUCUGCCCGCUUUACACCUCAACAAUUUCAUGUAUUUAAAUAUGAUAAAAUCAUAGAAUCACAGAAUGGCUGGAGUUGGAAGGGACAUCAAAUGUCAUCAGCCUUCCUGCCAUGGCUGCCCAGAGCCCCAUCUAAUCUAGCUUUGAACACCUCCAGGUAUGGGACAUCCACAACUUCUCUGGACAGACCAUUCCAGCACCUCACCAUCUCUCAGUGAAAAAUUUCCCUCGAUAUCUAAUCUAAAUCACCCCCUUUCUAGUUUAAAACCAUUCCCCCCUUAUGUACUACAGAGCUAUGUUGAUUGCCCCUUUCCCUAUCCUGGAGAGGCAUUUUCUGCAUUUACGUUUUAGCCUGUAGAAUUUACUUGUUUCUCUGACUUUAAGUUCUGGGGUACUUAGGAUGUGUUUGAAGGUACACAGAGCACAGAGGAAUCCUUCUGCCAAAACACACCUGCAGCACAACAUCUGCUCCAUACAUUCAUAACCUCUUUGAUCCUAGGUAGGAACUGAUGGCCUUAGUGCUGGUCCUAUACGUGAGCAGAAGUAUUCAAGAGAUUGACUUUGAAGUCUGCCAAGAGACUCUUCACUAGAACAGUUCCCACAAACACUGUGCUUGGACAUUCACUUCUGCUUCACUGGGGAAGAAAGAUGCUACUGGCUAGAUAAACCUGCUGGCAAAAUGCAGCAGGUUUCCUUUGAAGACUUUGCUUUGCCAUUUAUUGGGCUACUCUGAGUGGGUUUUUUUUGUCUCUUCUUUAUGGCAAUAGAUUCCAGAUUUUGAGCUGUUUUCUUGAAAAACAUUCCCGGGGUGGGUGGAUGAGCCGAGCAGAAACAUGGGUUAGUUUUGCUUCAUUUCAUUUUCAGCUUGUAUACAACAUUCCUAUUUUUGUAAUUGAGCCAUCUUUACUGUUUUUUUUUUCCUGCUCUCACGACACUACAGGGAAGCUGUUGAAUUCCCUUAACAUUAAUUUACUCUUGCAAAGAAAAAAAAGCAAAAAGAUUUCCUGCUUUUUUAUUUUUUUAUUUUUCUUUAUGCAAACUGUGCUGUCUUUCUGGUCUGCACCAAUUGGAAGGCAUUUGCAAAUGCUCCUGUCUCAGUUGCUGAAAACUGCCUCCCCAUAUGUUUUCCUGAUUAAGAAAUUCGGCCCGCCAAAUGGCAGAGUUUGCUCAGCUGGAGUUGACUGUUUGGUUGGGAUUAAUAAACAGCAUUCCUCUUCCCAUACAUCUUCCUGUUUAGCAUAAAAGAAAACAAAUUACUUUGGGGCUUUCCUGCUUAUUUGUUCUUACACAAAAAAAGUAUAUUCUGGGAGCUUUUGCAGUGUGCCUGGCUCCUAGAAAUGCAACACAAAAGCAACUUGCAGGCUGUCUCCAUAGGCCAUCAGUGCUUAACAAGGCUUGUUCCUGGGCAGCACUGAGCCGGCUGGUUAGGCGGUGAAUGCUGAGUGAGAGAGAAAUAACUGACUGAUCUGGGUUACACAAAGUCUUAUGGGGAUUUAUUGGUAGAUUUUCUUUAAAAACGACAAGAGGAGGCAAAUUUAGUGCUUGGAUUGAUAGCUCAGGAAGCUGAAAAUCCUUUGAGGAGAGGACAAGCACUGCCCAGGCCAAGCAAAGCCAUCAUUUCUCUUGCUGUCUUAUAUGUGUGCCUCAUUCUUCCACUUCUCCCAUAUGGUAGCAUCUUCACGGAGACAGAAAAUGGCUGUUCAAGUUUGACAAUUUUGCUGAGUUUGAAAAAAGAGUCACAAAAAUUUCCACAAGACCAACGAAUAGCCAGAGCUUUUAGGCACUGACACUUGCAGUUAGACAUGAAAAGAACUUACAGUUCUUGAGUGUCUUAAAUCCAACCUAAAUUCAACAGGGUUGGAAUGCCAAAAUCUGAUACAGUUACCUAAGAGGAGGUUGUUAGGAGGUGGGGAUCAGCUUCUUUUCCCAGGCAACAGUGAUAGUGCGGGGGGUAAUGGCCUCAAGUUGUAUCAGGGGAUGUUCAGGAUGAAUAUUAGAAAAAAAAUAUUCUCCAAAAGAAUGGUAAUGCAUUGGCACAGCUGCCCAGGGAGAUGGUGGAGUCAUCGUCCCUGGAGGUGUUAAGAACCAUGGAGAUGUGGCACUGAGGGUCAUGAUCAGUGGACAUCUGGGGGUAAAUUGUCAGUUGGACUCGAUGUUAUUCCAGAUCUUUUCCAAUCUUACUGAUUGUAUGGUAGGACUCCUAUGAGGUUAUAAACUUCCCAGAACUCUGUCUUUAGGGGUUGCUGACAUGACUGGAUAUACUAGCUCUGACUGGUACAUGUUGAACAUUUUAAAAAAUAUUUAGAUUAUAUCUUGAUAAAUAUUUUUUACUUUUUUUAUUUGGCUGCUAUUUUAUCCUAAAAUUCCUCCUUUUCAUCUUUAUGUGUUGGUCCUUUUGUUUUCUGAAUAACUUUAGCACAUUAUUACAUGCAUGUGUGUGUGCUUGUACAAAUAUAUAAGUCACAUUUUUCUGUUGGGGCCCACUGUUACUUUUCAGUUUACAGAUGAUUCUUCUUUAUAAUUUAUUAUAUUAUUUUGCUGAUAAAGUUUCUGAGAUCACCAUUGUAUCAAAUGAAAUUUUCUGUGGUUGGCUUCUCCUCAAAGGUGUUUUUUUAACCUACAGUUGGAACAAAUUCCUCUCUCAGAUGUGGAAGAAAAAGGGAAAAUAAAUAGUAUCCUGUCAUCUACAUAAGCUGGAUGUGGUGGUUUCUUGUUCGGUUGAGUUUUGUUGGUUUUUAUUUUUAUUAAUAUGUGUAUAUUUCCUGAGUAGAUUAUUGGGACUUGGCUAACUACUUGGAUAAGCAUGGAGUGUGAGAUGGAAACUGAGCCCUACAUUCCACAGAAUCAUAGAAUCAUUACUGUUGGAAACGAACUCCAAGAUCAUGGAGUCCAACCAUCAAUCCAUCCCCACCAUGCCCAAUGGGCAUGUGUCCCUCAGUGCCACAUCUCCAUGUUCUUGAACACCUCCAGGGAUGGUGACCCCACCACCUUUCUGGGCAGCCUGUGCUGAUGCAUUACCAGACUUUAUGGAAAGAAAUUUUCCCUAAUAUCCAUUGUGAACCUCCCCUAGUGCUACCUAAGGUCAUCACUUCUCGUCUUAUCACUGUUACCUGGGGGAAGAGGCCAACAUCUGUCUCACCACAACCUCCGUUCAGACAAAGGGAGCAGAAAAGAUGAAUAGCCUGUAAGUAGAAUCUGACCUGAAAGAGUUUCUCUGUCUUAUAUCCAAAGAUCUUGGUAUUUGAAAAGAUAUAUUAUUUUCAAUCUGUAUUUUUCAGUGGAAUCUAGCCUGUGGCUGCAUUACCGUGUUUGAUGGGGAUGCAGUAUGGUACAAGAGACAGUGUCCUCUACAUCCUUGUGAAAGCCUCUUUAACUGGCCCAAAUCAUUCCUGAAAACAUUUUGGCAAAGAAUCAGCUUCAAGACGUGCCUAGUGAAUGCAAUAUUACAAAGUGCUCAUUUAACACCAGGGCAUAUAAAGAGAUGUACUGGGCCAGGGCAGAAGUUACCAGCAUGGUACCCGAUCUCUGUCACAUGGAAACUUGGUGCAGAAUGAGAGCACAAUGCAAAUCCUCUGUACCACAUCCCAGCUUCCAGCAAUCUGCUAUUCUGGGACUACUUGAGCCAGAGGUGGUAUCUCUGUGCUUAAUAGCCCUUGAUAGAUUUUUCUGCAGCUGUCUGCUCCUAUUUCUGGCAUGUAUUUAUGUAAAAGAACAGCAACAGAGAGCAGUCGUAGUGUCUCAUUAUAUAUUGGCCAGGAGAAACAGAAAAUAGCCCUCCACCUCCAAAGUUAGAAGGUUUCCAGACUUUUCCAUUUCCAGUUCCCAUUAUAAUUCUAGUGUUUAACCAGCCACUUUAGAGCACUCAUAUUCCUAGCCAAGCAGCCGUACAAAGCUGCCAGGUUUCAUUCUUCUGACUUUAGAAACACUUAUGUUUUGUUGUGCCUCUUUAUUGAAGGUAGUGUUACAUGGGUGUUUCCUAAUAUCAGCUGUGUUCAGGAAUCUCUGUUGUACAAUCAAAGGAUAAUUUCCCCUUAAGAGUUACACCAGCCUUUUGAAAGGCUAUAAUAUUUCCUGUUUCAUCUGUCUGUAGCCUGUGGCGAUCUACAGGGGGAGAAAAAGCAGCAGCUUCAGAGCCAGGUAUAUGCUGAUCUAUGGGCUGUUUGGCAGACAGUAACAGUUUCAUGCUGUUGCCCAUAUGUAGAAGUGAGCAGUGAAGCCCCACUGAUGCACUGACGAAUGACCUGGAACUGUCUUCUGAAGGAUAUUUCAAUACAGGACACAGGUGAACAGUAUGAAUGUUUUCAAUGAAGUGCAAUGCAGUCCUCAAACCAGUGCCUUGGAUAACUAAAUAAAUGUCAGUUCUUCUUGCACUGAGGCAAGUCGUCUCUCUAAUGGCCAGCAGCUCCCUCUGCUCCAAAGGCACCAGCAAUCUUUUUUCUCUCAAAUAGUCUAAUUGAGCAACACAGAUUAAUUAAAUUUAAGUGUGUAAUAACCCAGUGUGUUGCCUUUGGCGCUAAAGCCACUUAAGAAAUUCUUAUCCCCGUCUUGUUUCUUCUGCAGAGACUGCUGCCCCACUUUGUUAUGCUGCUUGUAGUCUGUGCUGUGCAUAUAGUCACUGGAAUAAUUUAGAUAAAAAGAAAAGGAAACAACACUUUUAAAUAAGCAUCAUUUCAAACACUUGUUUAAAUCACAGUCUUGCAGAGGUUGUGUUGGGCCAAAUCAGUGAGCAAAGAGUAAGGGGUGCUGGUAUUACCAAGUGCCUGGGAGUACAAAAUCUUAAGUUAACUCUGCAACUAAACACAAAGCAUUGUAGAAUGACAACUUUGGAGCAGUUAUUCUCAGUUUCGAUUUAGCUUGAAUUUUUCUGGUCCUGCAUCAAGCCUGAGCAUUCAUUUUCUCUGAGUUGACCUGCUGGACUAAUAAAAGACAAAAUCUGUCCCCACAUGUUGCUUCCUGCAAAGCAUAUUUGCACUUUAUUUCAGUGUUGUCUGGUUUUAGCGCCACUAGAAAAACCUGAAGACAACACAUCUGUGAACUAUUCAUGCGUGGAGUUUUCAGUGACAGGACUGGGGACCAUUGGAACAGGCUGAAGAUUAAUUUGUUGAAAUCCAAAGUAAGGAAAGUUCAGAGCAAUAAGGUCCUCAGAUCCUAGUGUUAGGAGUGGCUAAUUUGAGAUAGGCUCAAAUACUUGUUUUAUAGCAAUAAAUGCUGUGUAUUAUCAACCCCAAUUGGAAGCAUAUCAGAUGGAGAACUGAAACCCUGAGGCCCUAUAAGCAACCAAACACUUUUGAAGAUCUUGACUUUCCUUUGGAUCGUUCUUCAUGACAACAGGCUUUUCCUUUCUGUAGUAUUCUAUACCACAGAUGUAUCUUUCCCUCAUUUCUAUUUGCCUUCAGGGAAAACACUUCCUUUUAUCUAAGUUUGCAUGGUAGGCACCAGUAAUGCUGCUGAGAGUCUCUAGACACUACUGGAACGUACAUAAAUAAAAUCGGAACGACUCUGAACUACAGAUUUACAAAACAAAACCAUUUCAGGAAUGAGACAAGCUGUAGAAAGAGGACAGCUAUCUCAUCCAACUGGAAAUUUUUUGAAUCAUUUUUAUAUAGCAUAAAUGAAUGCAUUGCCAAGGUCUUCUUCAGAGUAAGAUAUUAUACUGUUGUUUCUACUUUUGGACUGCUUUUUCUCCCUUAUAGAGUUAAAGAAAUCAAAGUUGAAAGACUGACUUUUAAAACAACAACAACAACAACAAAAAACACAGAACAUUAUUUGCAAUGCAUUCCACCUAAUUUGUGGAUGUACUUAUAUUGACUUGCCAGCCAAUGGUGUCUAUAGCUUAUUAGCUGUGGAGAAGGAGACUCUGUGCUUUCCUCCACUGCUGAUAGUCAUGCUUAGGGGAGACUCUCCGACUCUCCUAUUAAUAUAAGUGUAACUACAUCACAGUCCUACCUGAGAUAUCUUUUGUUGGAUGUUUGAGAAGUCCUAGUUGUCAGCCAACUGUGAUAUGCACACAAUGAGCACUGGGUUCAUCAUUUUCUUAUGCCCACCCUUCUGCCUGCCUAUGUUUGUGUCUUACCUCUUGAUUUAUAAUUUGUUAGUAGCGAGGUUCCUCACUGGAAAGGAUCUUCUGGCUUUGCAGAUGUAGGAAGUGGGAUUCAAGUGCCUAAACUUGGGUAUUGUCUGCCUUUGGAAAUGCCCAGCAAUAUCUAUUAGCUAUUGGUGUCAUCAACAGUAGGAUUGAGGGCAUCCUCAGCAAGUAUGAUGACCAAGCACCAAGCUGUAUGGUACAGUCAACACAAUGAAGGAAGGAUGUCAUCCAUAGGGACCUGGACUGGAGAGGUCAGCCUAUGCAAACCUCAUGAAGUUCAACCAGGCCAAUGUACUUGUGACAGGGCAAUCCCAAGAACAAAUACAGACAGGGCAGAGAAUGGAUUAGAGUAGCCCUGAGGAAAAGGACUUGGGGAUGUUCCUUGAUGAGAAGCUCAACAUGAGCCAGCAGUGUGUGCUUACAGCCCAGAAAGCCAACCAUGUUCUUGGACUGCAUUAAAAGAGGGGUGUCCCACAGGGUGAGGGAGGUGAUUAUCCUCCUCUGCUCAUGUGGGAUCUCAUCUGCAGUUCUGCAUUCAGCUCCAGGGCCCUCAGCACCCGAAAGAUGUGGAGCUGCUGAAAUGGGUCCAGAGAAGGCCACAAAGAUACUCAGAGAUUGAAGCACCUCUGCUAUGGAGACAGACCAAGAGCUGGGGUUAUUCAGCCUUGAGAAGAGAAGGCUGUAGUAGCUUUAUGGUACCUAAAGAGGAUGACAGAAACACUGAAGAGGGGCUCUUAGGGACUGUAGUGAUAGGACAAGGAGUAAUGGUUUUAAACUAAAACUAAGGGUAGGUUUAAUUUACAUAUUAGGAAGAAAUUCUUUAUUAUGAUGGUGGUGAAGCACUGAAACAGAUGCCUCAGAGAUCUUCUGGAUGACCCAUCCCUGGAGGCAUUCCAGACCAGGUUGGAAAGGGCUUUGAACAACCUGGUCUGGUGGGAGGUGUCCUAUCCCAUUGUAGGGGGUUGGAAAUAGAUGGUCUUUAAAGUCCCUUCCAACUCAAGCCAUUCUGUGAUUCUAUGAUUCUGUGAUCUGAACUUUCCAGCUUGGAAGUUAUGACACAGGAUCCAUAGGAGAUCCACCAAACUCUGGAGUGGCAGAUGGAAAUCAAGCCAGACAAUACUCAGGUAACUAAAAUCCACUUGGAUGAUGUUAGCUCCUUGAUCCAAGAGCAUUAACAACAUGAGUAACAACUAAUUAUCAUAACAAGGAAAUAUUGGGAAUACUGGUGUUUAUAAUUAGAAUUUGUUGUAUUUCUGCACAGUUUUUUUUUUUUUUUUUUUUUUUUUUUGUCAGUUCCACUGUAUAAAUCGUAGCAGUUGUUUCUUUUGUCACAAAGAGUGGCACUACCUGAAGUAGUGAUUUUUGUUUAUGGUAGUGAUUACUGUUCAGUAGGCGAUUCCAGACAUUGAGACUUGCCCAGAGGGCAUGAGCUGUCAAAGCAAGUGUCCCUUCCUUCUUUGUUUGAAUACAUAGCUAUGAUUUUUGACCAAAUGGUUUACUCCGUGUGGGGUCUGACAUGAGAUUGGAACACUGAUUCUUUGUAAGGGGACUUGAGUGACCUGAGUGAAAAUCCCAGAGGCAAACAUCUCUGAAUAUUGUGGGGAAUUGCAGGUGGGAUCUGUAUUUUGAACAGGGACAGUCAUCUCCCCAGCAAUUCAUACUCAGACAAAGGACCACCAGUAUCAAAGCCUUCAGGCUCACAAGUGGAUAGUUUAUGGGGUUAAAAAAAAAUCUUUUUUUUUUUUUUUUUUGUUAUUGUUGUUGAUGUUGUUGUAUGUGUGGGCUUUCAAAAAGACACUUGAGAAUAAAUGGGAAAGGUGAAGGCACUGCAGAUGAAUGCAAAGUGGAGCCUACUCUACAAAGCGGCUGCAUAGCAGAAGGUAGUUUUCAGCUCUCCUAGUUCAGCAGCUGCUGGGUGAAUUGAUUCAAUUUUCAGUGGAAAAUGAUGCAAUUGUUUUACCAGUUCCACAAAGAUAAAUGUCUGUAUUUCAUCAGAGCAAACACAUAAAUGAGCAGCAGCUCCAUAAUCUGUCCUUUUUGAUGGCACUGCAACUGAGCAUAUUUGGCUCUGAACUUAUCGGCUUAAGCUAAACUGGUAAGUUUCUCAUUUGGACAGAAACACUUUAACAAGGAGAUUUUAAUAAACCAAUGGAAAGAUUCACAUUCUACUCCCUACUCUCCUUUCAUUCUAAAUCAAAUACAUAUUUUGACUCAAUUUUGCUUUCUGGAGCAUGUUGCAUUUCUUUAGGCUAGAGACGAGCAUCUAUAAUGCUUCCUUGGUGCCAAAUAUGUUUGCAAGAAUUGUCUUUAUGAUGAUCUUUUGUCAUAGCAGAGUUCCAGAUGUUGCCAUUCCUCCAGUUUGCAGCUUGGUAUGCACUCUUCAUGUAAGAUGUGGCUUCAGGAGUUCUUUUCUCUUAACACUCUUGUUAACCACCAGACAGUGAGCCUAGAGCCAUCAGUCCAAAGAGUUCUAGGAAGUGGAGGCUAAAUAUUUAACCAUGUGACAUAAAAGGGGACGGACAUUGCUUUAAUAUUUUUUUGUGCACCAGUGCUCAACAAGGAUUAGGUUUCAAAUGAGAACAUCUUAUCUUUCUUUGAACAACAAGAAAAUGUUCAACCACAUGAGUUCCAAAAUUGUUGUCAUGACCCUAGAGAGGGGCAGGAUCAGUCUUCCCUUAACAAAAGAAAGCCAGGCAGUGCUGUUAGAGGUCUGCAUCCGUAUUACUCCCUCACAUAAGCCUGCUCACUUUCUGCCAUUCUCAGCAUGUCUUCUUUGUAACAUGUAUGCUUACUGAAUGACUACAGAUUUUAUCAAAUGAGGUUUGCAUGAGAAAUGGAGGCUGUAUUUUACUUCUCUCACUGCUGCCACUUUUAUUAAAGCCGUCAGACAGUCACAGUGUCUCUAGCUGUGUAGGCAGCUGUCUUACUCCUCUGACAUGCCAUGUCUUUUGAAGAAGAGGACUGGUAUUAAAAUAAGAGCAAACCUCCCCAUUAGGUAUGUGCACAUAGCAAUUAGGGGACCAUAAAUAGAUCAGUGUGCUUUGAGAUUGAGGUCUCCAAAGUAUUCUGCACAAGUUACUGGUAUUUUGUGAAAUGUUUGGUAACCAUUUCACAUAGCUGUGAAAAAGUUGUAAGGUUGCUUAUUUACAGUGGCUGUAGUAUAUUAAAAGACAGAGCAUACCACAGAAUCAUAGAAUCGUUUGAGCUAGAAUGGACCCUUAAAGGCCAUCUGCUCCAGCUCUCCUGCAAUGAACAGGGACACCAACAGCUCGCUGAGGUGCUCAGAGCCCAUCCAGCCUGACCUUCAAUAUCUCCAGGGAUGGGGCACCACCACCUCUCUGGACAACCUUUGCCAGUGUUUCACUGUAUUUAUAUAAUUCACUGUAGUAGAAUUUCUCCAUCAAGAAAUACAAUUUGCCCAGGACUAAGUUUUACUGUAAUAGAUAUGUAAGAAAGUAAUAGAAGAGACUCAUAAAGCUUCCUUACUAAGAUGUGCAAGGGCAACCUCUGAGAAGACAUUGUAGACAACACCGUGAGGUCUGCACAAACACAAGUCCACAUACACAGAAAUCCAUGCACAUGCCAGAUGUUUGUUUUAUUACUAGUUUUGGCAGAAAAAAAACAAGGACUUCUUGAUAAAUGUCUCUUCCCUGGAGCUAUUUUGAGGUGUUGGCCUUCCGUUGGUUUCAGAACUAAUCCUGUAUCAGUACUUUAAUAGAAACACACUGAGCAUCAUAUUCAAAGUCACUGAUUUUUGGUGUGGAUCCCAUAGCAAAAUUUUCUAAGGGAUAAAAAAACAAUGGAGUUUUGUGGUCUGCAUGUGCUUUUGUUUACAAACCCGUAUUUCCAGGCUUAAUGGAAAUCAAGAAACGUGGAAUCAUAGAAUAUCCCAAGUUGGAAGGGACCCAUAAGCAUCAUCCAGUUCAACUCCUGGCUCCAUGCAGGACCACCCAAAAAUCAGACCAUAUGUCUGAGAUCACUGUCCAGACGUUCUUGAACUCCAGCAGCACAGUGCCAUUACCAUGCCCUGAGGGGGCUGUUCCAGUGCCCAAACAUCAGUGAAGAACCUUUUCCCGAUAUCCCACCUGAGCUGGACAAAAAUCAAGUUUGUUUAAAAACCUGGUCCCAAGUGGGUGUGCUGCUUUGGGAUAAAAUUAUUUUAAAAAGAAUAAUAAAAUUACAUCUAAUAACUAAUCUGAUAAAUUGCGUUACCAACUUUGAAAACAUCUCUAGCGCUGAGGGUUUAAAUGUAGGCAUGCAGCCAUGUGAGGAAAGCUCAAGCCAGCAGCACCUGCCUGCUCAGCCAUCCUGUAGAUAAGUAGUGACCAUCCUUCCCCACACCUUUCUCACUCCUGUCUUUCAUCUGGGAGGAAGCCUGGGCUGUCAUUUCCUAUCCUGUUAUAUGCCUUCUCACCCAGCAUGGCCUGUGGGCAGUGCUGCGUCCUGGAUGCCAAGAACUAAAAACACCCUGAGAGAAAAGAGUAAGUGAAAUUGGGAGAGCAGAGAGGUUGGCAUGAAGGGGAAAGCUUGGUUCAGCAGUUAAGGUUAAUUAUUAGGGUCAUCACAGGAGAUCUCUGAGCCGUGAGAGUUACUUGUUAAAUGAAUACAGAAUAUUUGCUUCUUUCAUAAGAUGAGGCUGAGGCCUUUUCACUCUGGAGAUCGGAAAGAAGCACGCCUUGACCUUAACUGACAGCAUCUGCUUCUGUUUUGACUGUAUUGAUGAAUAAGACAACAGCAGCGUGGUGGUGUGUAGAGCCCCGGGGAAUAUUUAUAAGGCACAUUAGUAUGGCAACGCAACGUAAAACAGCUAUUGACAAGCAUGAAGUUCAGAAGCUGUGAUUUUGCCCCUAGCCAUGGCUGCUCCCCCUGCCUUGAAAACCCUUGUCAAGACUGAUCUUGGCGACACGAGGAGGCAAGAACAAAGUGCCAAAUCCAUGAAAUGAACCCGGCGAUGUGGGGAAGGACAGAAAAGGGCUUUGAUAAUCUUAAUGCUAAUUCAUUGGGAAUGUACGCAGCAGGGAAGAGAUGUUUUCUGUAAAGAUCCCUUCUCAUGGGACAGUUUAGGAAGGAGGUCUGGAUUUUUGGCUAUCCAUCACUUGUGGGAAAUUCCUGCAGAAUGUAACAGGGCGUUGCUUGUUUUCUAUGUUUCUACUCUUACAGUUUUUAAUAAGUGCUUGUCUGGCAUACGCUGCAGUUUAAUUCUUGCGUGGAAUGUUAUAGGAUUCUUCAAAAAGUCUGAUAGUAAGGAUUUCUUUAUAAAAGUGCUAGUUAGCAUAAUUUCUAUGGAAACCUAAUUAUACAUUGGUAGACUUUCAAUAGGAGACUAUUAGACCUUUAGUCAAAACAAAAGCAUUAUCAUUGGUCCUUUUAUUUAGGAAUCUUUCAACAGAUUUACUAUAUCCUACUUAAAAAUGGUCUAGGGCACAAAACUCAAGCAAACAAGUGAAGUAGAUUUUGUUUCUAGGGUUGAAUAUCACCAUUCUCUUCUUAAAGAGGGGUCAACACUCAAUUUUUCCAUUCCUCAGUUUCUUUGUCUGUAAAAUAAAGAUGAUACUUAACCUCAGCUCAGUGAUAAUACUUAACCUGAGUGGUGUUUAAUUAUUUCUCUGGUGCUCCAGAUAAAAUUUUAUUUUGCUAAAGUAGAAACUUGCAAUUGUGAAACUCCACAGUAUAUUAUAGCAAAUCGUUAUUUGUGACUCACAGGCUCUGCAAGCUAGCAAGUAAGCACAUAUGCCUUAAAAGACUCCCUCUACACUGCAGAAUGGAGGGCGUCAAUAGUUUUGGCAAGCACAACUGACUAUUAAUUGUUUAAGAUAAUCCUCUAAUGGCUCUUUGUCCAUUUUCUCCAGUUUUUUUUCUUUUUUUUGUUGUUUGUUUUUUGUUUGUUUGUUUUGUUUUGUUUUUGUUUUUGUUGUUUUGCUUUGUUUUUCAAAGAAAGAACAUCCUCCAAUACAGAGAACAAGCUUGAGGGUAAGGCACUUAGAUUUUAUUUUCACAAGUUCCUUGACCCUGGCUAGAUCACUCAAUAUUUUCAUUUUCUUCCUAUAUGAAAUACUUCAUUGUGGUCUUCUAUGCAUACUGAUGCUCUUUACAUAUUACAAAAAUAUUAACUCCAAAGCAAAUGGAACCAGUACUGUCCUUCACCUUACAUUUGAAGUUUUACUUGUAUUUUUUACUUCCCAGAUUUAAGUACCAAAUGCAUUUCUGAAUGAAGCAAUGUGACUAGUACCCAACCACAGAGUUUGUUGUGAUUGUUCGUAGCAUGUUUUUACAUUAACAUACUGAAAAGUAAAUUGAAAUUCAUUACUCUGGAUAAUUUUGUCAUUUUGUGAUCUCACUUCUUUAUUUUCACCUUUCUUCCUUCUGUGCUUAUUUAAUCUCUUUCUCCAUCUAGACAGUAUAUGUUUUAUCCAAAAUACUUGUGUGGUCAGCAUAUACAUUAAAGGAACUUUGACUCUAGAUUUGUCUUCCCAGCAGCUACCAUAAGCACAGAGAAUAAAAAAUAACACUAAAUAAAAAUUAGAUUUGAAGAAGUUUGCCAGAAUGAGAUGACUUUUACAAUUUUAUAUCAGAAUAUUUUGCUAAUAGUGCAAGUAGAAUAGCAGGACAGAAAUGUAAAUUAAAUUUACCAAAUUAUAGGUUCUCAUAUAAACCCUCUUGCAUUCUAGGAAACAAACGGUAUAAUAAUAAAAAGUACAAAUCUUUUACUAUAUGUGCACAUCUCAUGUAUGAGCUAUAGCUGCUUGAUAGUAUAAUACAAUUUUUCUAAGAAUUUCUCCAUCUACUCUAGAAAAACACUGUUGCAUAUGGCUGUCUAUCACUUAGCGCACACCCUCUCUGCACAGUUGCUUCAUUAAUCCUGUAGAAGAUAACAGGCAACCUGGUCUCUCCACUUGUCUGAAAUUCAGUUUGGGAGGAGUCAGGUCUGGUUUUACUCUGAAUUCAAAUACUGCCUGUGACUCACUUAUGUUCAUGUCCUUUUUGAAUCAAAUUCCUAUUGUCUUUAGUAGGAAGUGGUAAGGCCACAAGUGAGGAAGGAUUAACAUAGGAUUUGUCAGAGAUUAGUAAUAGAUCAGUCCAUGUUGGCCAGUGGUUUCAAAAGGUUUAAGUUAGAAAGAAUGUAGGAGGAUGGUGGAGAGUGACACUGAUAACAUGGGCAGCAUGCUGUCUGAGCAUAUCAACAGUAGUAGACAGUGUAAUCUCAUUUGCUGCAUUAGCUAGCAUAGAGAAAGUUGCUGAGAGAUAGCACUGAGAAGAGGAACAAGAGAAAAUAAAAUAAAAUAGAAGGUGCCACAAAUCGAUUCCACCAAAGUUACAACAAUAUUUGGGUGCCCACACAGGAGCCCCACAGGGACAUAGAAACACAUACAUACACAUUGUCCCCAGAAUUGUUCUCAGCCCAAUAUGGGUUAAGAGAUUAAAAGGAUCGGGUGGAUAAAGACUGUCUCAAACUCUAACAAGUACUGAGUGUAAACAGAAAACAUCCUUCUCGUAGACUUCACCAAGCCAAAGGCAUAUUUUGGUACACGGUGAUGCUUAGCUAAGAGAGCAAGAAGAAUACACUGUUGACAUCUACUUUGUCACAAGGAUGACAGCAUUUCCCUGAGAUAAUUCCUUUCUGAACUGCAACAUGUUUUGUGUUUUUGUGGUGAGGAAUGUGUCACCUAACACUUCAGAAAUGGCCAUUGCUGGUUACUCCACCGGAACUUUAAUCGAGACCUUCAUUAUUCUUAUGAGUCUGAGUUAAAAUAAUUUCAGCCUGGAUUUAUCUCCCACUUUCAGCCAUUAAAUUUUCCUGUCUAUUCUGUUGAUAAUUUGUCUGCUAGCAGAUGUAUUUCACUCCACAACAUGGGCAUUUCUUUGUGAUACAAGUUAACCUUGUAAUGAAGGAAUGGACCUUUGAAGUUGGUAUGGAAACAGGAACUGCUUAUCAAGAACUAUUUUGCUGUGUGGUUUUGACUUUGCUAUUGGAAGAAAUUUGUUGAUUUAACUUGAUCUGAGAAAUACACCAGAGAAUAGCCUUCUUUAGCCUGUUGUGUGCAGGUUCUUCAGCAAUUCAGAUGGCCAUACUUACUCCUCCGUGAAAGUGUCAGUGGUUUUGAAGGUCCAGAUUCUUCCAAAAUAACUUGUAAUUGAGUUUCCACAUCUUGUGUUCAUUUUGGCUGUGUCUUCCAGAAUAUCUAGCUAAAAAACAUGUUUUAUACAUGGUGCAAGUUUGAGCCCAAAUGUCCACAGCGUAGGUCAAGAGCAUAGUGCUCAAAAUGUGGUUGUGGAAGAUUUGGGAGAAGUAAUUUCUUUCACAGUGGUCAAAACAUGAAACUCAUUUUUCCUUCCUCACUCAACUUCUUUCAGCGCGUUAGUUUUUAUUUAAGUGCAUCCAGUCCACUAAACUGCCUUGGGAAUCUUUGAUACAAAUACACCAGAGUCAGUCCUCUCCCUCUUUUCCUAGUUCUGUAGAUGGUGGAAGCUUGGGGACUGCCCAAAUGAAAAUAAAUAGAUUGAUUUAGUGCAUUUGGACACCUAGAAGAAGUUGCCUUUCCUAGAGGUGGUUUACAUUUGCAUUUGUUUUUCUCCUCAGAGCUAUAAAACAUGUUUGACAGACUUUAUAUGAAGCCCUUAGAAAUUGUUUGCUUUGGCUAUUACGAUCCUUAAUCCUUCUCACAUCAGGACUCUGUGUAUUCCUUACUAGAGGGUAUGUGUUCAAGUUUUUUUGUAUUCUGUGAGGAUAAUGCAAUCUGACAAGUACGUAGGGAGAUGAUAAAUCUAGACUUGAGGUCUUUUUCAUGGUAGGUGAAGAAUGAGCUAGAACUGUUUUCAUUGAAGGAUUAAAUCCCAGUGGUAAUUUUUUUUAAGCAUCACAGAGUUUUAGUCAUGUGGUUGCCAUGAAAAACAGUACAAAAGAUUCAUGUGCCUAAUAACUCCUACAGAGCAGUUCUUCAGAAAGGUACCUGUGGUGCAGUGCUUUACAGGUAUGGGUUUACGUUAUCUGAUAUGGUCCAGAGUCUGCAUUUCCUAUAAUUGCAUCAAAUUUCAGGGCUUAAGAGGAAUUCAAAGCAUCCAAAAGCACACAAGUGAGGUCUUAGGGUAAGUACUAACAAAAAGGGUAUUAUCAAAGUUUAGUUCUCUCAUGUGCUUGAAAUCAGCUUUUUGUGGGCUUGAUCCUUGUAGGAAGGCUGCCUUGAAGCUUCAGUAUAUCACUUAUUGAUUACAGCAACAUCUUCCCUGGAAUAUUGUCUAUCUUUAUUUUCCACCCUCUCAAAAAAUCCUGCUACAAAAAUUUCUUUACUGUUUUAUGUCUGUAAAACACUUCCCUCUUGUUCUCCAUUUUAUCUCUUUUAUCUCUUUUAAUAGCCCCCUUUACAUCACCUGAAGUUCAAACCUCUUGUGGUGUUCAAUGCCUCUGCCCACAUCCUUCACAUACCUCAAGUAUCUGUCCCUCACCAACCUCUCCUUGAAGGCCCACUUCUCAUUAUGCCCGUAAGGAGUGGAUUGGGAUCAGCCACAGAGAUGGCAAAUAGCACCUGCUGGUAUUUCUUGGAGUUGAAAUGUCUGACACGCAGAGAUAUAGCGUAGAUAAACCAUCUGCUUUUGUGAUUGUGACCUUCCUCACAAAGCUCCCUUUUGUUAUCUGCUUGAAGGAGGUGUGUUUUUAUUUUCCCUAUGCAAAAUGCACAGCUACAUCUCUGCUGAAGACUGUGAAACUGAGCUGCAGAAUUCUUUACAUUUUUCUAUCCUGGGAGAAAAACACUUUUUCACCCUAUCAGAGAGCCUUCCUGUUAAAAUCUGAAGCUGAAGCAUUUCAGUGUUGAGCCUUAGCUGGUUUUUCUGGUUGCGCCACCAAAUGAACAACUUAAUUUAUACAUAUAUUCACAUUUUAUUAGCUUCAAAAGCCACUGAUUCUUCCUCUUACAUUUUGUUUCUAUGUGCCAUAUCCCUUAGACCACACCGUGCUUGCAAUGUUCACAUCCCAGGUAGAGCUCCCAUUGAUCUCAAUGGGAGUUCAGUGUGGGAUUCCAGUGCAGGAGGCACAGGAGGAGAGAUAAGAGGACGCCUGAUAAGAGUUCACACAUCUGAUAAGAGUUCUGCAGCAUAGACAGGAGAGCUGCAUUUUCACCUUAAUUAUCAGUCACCUUCUUUUGUAGUUCAGUGCAGGAUGUUCCAUUUUAACAGAACAUCAACUGAUGCACUAGGGAACUGCCUGAAGUCCCAUAGAAAAUGGCACUGAUACCAUCUUUAAAAUAUGCAUCUCCAUUCCUUGUGAAUUUUGAAUAAAGCACUGUGCAUCCCGAGCAGACUUGGCAAGCAAGGAGGUAUUGAAAACCCAAUGAUCAAACACAGACCUCAAUGAUAAUCUCCAGGAAACUUGUUCAGUACUCAGCAACAAACCAAGGAGAGUCUUUGGAAUGGAUUUACUUUUUUAGUACGUGCCUUAAAAAUAAAUUCCAGUAUUUCAGCUUGCGUGACAGAAACAUGGAGGAUUUUUGGAAAGGCAGUGGUGAUAACAAUAGGCUUAUUAAUACUGAAAACCGAGCUAUAUAAUUAUAAUGAAACCGUUGAGUCUCAUUUCUUUUAUAUAGAUGGCAGUAUGCAAAUAGGGAGCCAUCCGCCUUGAUAACUGCAGAAGCUAUGAAAUCCUUAUUUGAAGAAUUUCAAUCUGGUUUUCCUAUAGCAUUCAGUACUCAAAGUUAAAAAAGAAGCUCCCUCCUCCUCCCCUUUUCUUUCUCAAUAUAACAAUGCAUUUAAAACUGCUCCAAAAUUGCAAACCUAUUUCACAGUUUCAUAGAGAGGAAAUGGCUUGAGGGAACUAUUUGCUUUUUUAUGCCUGGAACAUCAAAAUAAAGUACCGAAUGGGAAAAUGAAUUCUGUUGUAUAAAGGGUGGGUGCAGUACAGAAAGGGGUUUGAGGCAGAGGGCAAGUUGGUAGGGGUGACUGAGAGGGGUUUGUAGAGCCUAGCAAGGUUUGCUUAGAUACUUCAAGCUUGCCCAAGCAUUGAAGGAGGAUUUGCCCAUGGCUCUCAGCCCUCUGUUCUAGGAACAUAUACUCCGUAGUUCUCAUCACAAGAAGGCAAGGUAUGUGGGUUGUUAUAGAUCUCAGCUGCAUGUAAUUCAGGAGGUUUAGGUGGUCCCUCUGUCUGCUAUUGAAAAAUAGGAGGUGCUGGAUAAUCCCAUUCAGUUCCUUAUGUCUUUGUUACCCCUCCAGAGAAGUGGUGGAGUCACCAACCCUGCAGGUGUUCAAGAGAUGUGGUAUUUAGGGACAUGAAAAUUGAAAUUAAGGUUAUACUUAGAUUUCUCAAGAAUUGGAACUUCCUCAGGAAAGGGAACAUUAAGUUCAAAUAGAAAUUAAUUUCAGAAUUAAUGAAAAGUCUGAUAAAGCAUUCAUUGGUGACCUGUUAAUUUUGCAUUACUCAGUGGGAAGGCUCAGGGCUUGGCUGUAUCUUUGGCCUCUACUUCUACAUAUUGACGAGGUUCAGGUUUUAACUGAAAUCUAGGCUGUUCUUAUGCUCUCUGUUUAGCCAGAGGCUUCAGAGAAAUUUGAACACCAAUCUACUGCAGAACACAGGGCGCUUAGUUUAAUGCUGUGAGUUUGAGUCUCAACUUGUAGAGCAACCUUGAGCAAAGUACCUUGCCUCUUUACUCUUGCAGAUUGCAGAAAUGCCCUCCUGCCUCUGAGCACAGGGAAUUGUAGUCAAUGACAAUACAUGAUGUUGAGUACUGAGAAUACUCUUUCCUUGGCCAGCUGGAGAGAGUGGGUUGAAAGGUUCUUGGAGUCAUCUCGCAGUCCUCGCCUCUUGAUAGCUAAAGGACAUUCUGAUCAAAACAAACUGUUCCCCCUAACGUGUAGUACAUCUUACCCAAGGAUUGUUUUGCUACUUUUCCAAACAUCUUGAAAUGCCUCUCCCUGUGGUUAUAACUUACCUUAAGGACUAAAACUGAUCUCCUGAUCUACUCACAGUUCUUUGGGAAUGCAGGAAAAAAUACAAGAGCUGAAAUUUGAAUGGUCACUCACAUGAAAGGGAAUUGGUUUUGUACAUCCACUUAAGUAGCUCAAAAAAGAUGUGACAGAGGUUUUUUCCAUGUAACUCCUCAUAGAGUAUGAAAAGAAAAUACAUUUGUGUAUGGUGCAAAUUUAGAGGUGUCCACAGGGCUUAUUUUUCCUUUGAGCAUGGCCUACAUAAGGAGAAAUUUUCUAGUGUAGACGUCCCUACAAACUUGUUUUACGAAGACAUAUGUUUAUACUGGCAGGUGGUUUUGACCAUUCAGUUUAGCUCCCUGAGUGCUGCUUUUUAGGCUAGCAACAAAAGCCAUUUGAGGUGUUGAAGCUACAUCACUGCAGCAGGUCUUGGUGGUAUAGAUUUAUAACAUAAAAUCACUCCCUGCUUAUGUAUAUAUAAAUACAUAUCUCUGUCUAUGUAUAUUUCUGUACAGAUACAACAGCUGUAGGUAGAGCAUUAUAUACGAUGUAUAUUUGUAAAUGCAGCAUUUUAUAUGUGUGAAUAUAUGUUUCUAUAGAUCUAUGCCAACAUAUGAUAGAGAAGGGCAUACAAAGUGUUCAUGCCUUCCUCUGCUAUCAGAACUCCUCACUCAAUAUCUUUGUUUUAUUUAAAGUCCAGUUAGGAGGAAAGUGGCUUUUUCACUCCUACAUCCAGAAAUGUCCUUCAGAUGUGCCUGAAUUCAGGCCACCGCAUCUUCAAAAGCACCAGGCAGUAGCACAAUGUUCCAGAACAGAAUGUUUGUCACAGUUUGAUUCCCCUAAAAGAGAAAGACUGUUUCACACCACGUAGCUCUAGAAGAAAAAGAACACAUGAAAACACAAAUUGUAUUUUUUUUCCAUUCAGCAAUUGACGUCCUGCUUAAAGCAAUAAAAUUUUCUACAUGAACAAACACAUCUUAAUCACUACACCAAAUAAUACAUUUAAAUUAAGCAGAUAUUGUUUAAAAGAAUAACUUCACACAGGUGUAAUGUGUGUCAUAAUCUUCAUGUGAAAUUUUUGGCGUAGAGUUGGACAGCAAAACAAAAAGCUUAAAGUCCGUCAAACUUUUUAUUUAUUUUUCCCCUCGGUGAGCUCUGGAUCUCAUAAGCCUGCCCAAAUUAGACUUUAUGACUUCUUCUAUUAAUGCCUUAUUGAGAAACCUCUCUUCAGAAACCCUGACUUGAGUUACCAGUUCCCAAACCCAAACACAUCCGUGGCUGAAAAGAUGAAGUAUAUACAAUAACUAAUAUAAAUAUUGCUCUGCUCUGAAUUCUGCAGGGGAAAGUUUAUUUUCCUAGUUCUGGAGCAGUAACUGAUGGGUUGAACCCAAAUAGUAAAGUUUGAAUAGUUGUUGAAGCUGAAUAUUUGAACAGUUGUUGCAGAGAUGCUGCCGAGGGCUGCAUUUUAGGUCAGGGAAUUUCUGAGUAUGUAAGAGAAAAGAUGGGAAGAAAAACAUAUAAGAGGAAACAGGGAAAUUUCAAAAGGGAGGAGAUCAAGGAAGAAAGUGGUUAUGUUUCAGAACUAUGGUGUCUGAGUUGAUUGGAAGUAAGGGAAUUGCCAAGAUAUAACUCAUACAUGUUUUGCUCCAGAUGAAAUUGGAAAAUGGAAAUAUAAAGGCUUGCACUGCAGCACAUAUCCUGCCUCCACAUCAGUGAUAAAAAUCUGAUCUUGAAAUCUACUAUCACAUGGUAAAGGGGGUCAGUGUUGAUUUCUGCAUUAAAGGUGAAAGAAAUGUUUUUCAGUUUGGUAUCAAUUCAAACAGGAUAGAGUAAAAUAAAGGAAAACUUAGAAUCACUGAAUCAUGUAAGUUGGAAAAGACCAUUAAGAUCAUCUAGCCCAACCAUCAGCCCAUCAACUUCAAGCCAAUUGCAGCUCUACACUAGCUGCCCACAGAUCAUAACCCCCUAGCAGACAGUUUUCAGGAUUUUUGCCCUCAUGUGCUGGCAUCCAUAUGCAGCUCUUCUGAACUGCCUUCAGAUGCUUGAGUUUAUCUGUGACCUAAAAGUGAGCUAUUUUACAAGCAUAUUUUCUCUGGUUUAUGAAGAACAUAACUAUUAUUUAUAAUUUCAUGGUCUAGUUCAGAACUGAAACUGGCUAGAGACAUUUUCCUAUAUCCAUGAGAUUCCUUUAGUGAGACUUGGUUUAGAAAUAGCAAACUAUUUCACUGAAAGUCAUUGCAUAUUCAACAUGCCGAAUGAAUUAUAAGAAAAAAAAAAGUCAGUGUUAGUACAUGACUUAGGUUAAAGAAACCAAAGAAGAGAAGAAAUAGGUCCGUAUUUCUCUUGGAUUUCAGUAUUUUUAGUGUAAAUUUUGGCAAUGCUUUCAUCCCUUUUCUCUGUUCCUUCCCUCUGCAUCCCCCUAAAGAAAACACAUCUCCUUAUGGAGAGAUGUAUCAAAUUUACAAGAUAAACCAGAGCCAAAUUACCUGCUAGGUCUAGCUGGGGCAAUGCUAUUGAAAACCAGAUAUCAUCAGGACUUUCAAGUCUGUAUACAAAAUACACACACUAAGACAGAUGAGGAUUACAGUGCAAACUAAGAAUCACAUGUAGGAGACAUCUUUCACCAAGGCAGGAAAGGAGUCAAAAGCCAAGUUUUUAUCAGUUCUUGUGUUUCUUAAAUGAAGUAGUUUUGCUGGCUCGUGUUCCUACACCAGUUAGACCUUCCCUUUGUACAUGGCCCAGGUGAGGCCAGAACUUGGGUAUUGUGUUCAGCUUUGGGCCCCUCACUACAAGAAAUGCACUGAGGCCCUGCAGUGAACAAAGCUUUGAAGGGUCUGGAGCACAAGUCUUAUGGGGAGCAGCUGAGGGAACUCGGAUUGUUCAGUCUGAAAAAGAGGAGAUUCAGAGAAGACCUUAUUUCCCUCUCCAGCUCCCUGAAAGGAGAUUGUGGUGAAGUGGGUGUUGAUGUCUUUAUCCAGGUAGCAGUGAUAGGAUGAGAGGCAAUGGCCUUAAGUUGCGUCAGCUGAGGUUCAGGUUGGAUAUUAGGAAACAUUUCUUCUCCAGAAGAGUGGUGAGACAGUGGCAUAGGCUGCCCAGGGAGGUGGUGGAGUCACUGUUCCUGGAGGUGUUCAAGAACUGUGGGUAUGUGGAACUGAGGGACAUGGUCAGUGGGCAUGGUGGGGGUUAGGGUUGGAGUUGGGGAUCUUAGUGGUCUUAAGAUUCACCAUUACGAUUCUAUGAUUUUAUGAUUACUCCAGUCUAGCAAGGUGCAGCACAGGAUUACCCAGCUGUAUUUUGCUUUUUUCAGCCUGCUCUGGCUGUACUUCAUCCCCACUUAAGUCUCUGCAUCUGUAGAGGAGCAGCCCACAGUCUGUAUUUAUGUCUGUAGCACUGCCUCACAGACUGUCUCAUCUCACGGAGGUGAACAUCAUCCUCCACAAGUGGAUGUAACUGUAAUCCACACAUGAAUGUAGCACUGCUUGCUCAGAGCAGGUACAUGCAGAUAGGUUCAUUAUAUGUGUUAAUUACACUGGUUCCUGCUGCUAGCCCUGCCACUUCACAGUGUCAAAUGUAAAGAAGCAGCAGUGCCAGUAGCCCAGGUAACACUUGUGAAAUCCCUUCUUAACGGGAUCUCUGAGCACUCAGACCUAGCAAAACCAAGAACCAUUCUUGUAUCUCUGACAGCAGCCACAUGUCAGCACUUAGAGAAGUGGUCAAGAGCAGGGCACCAAUGUCAAGGUACUUCCUACAAUACUCCAGCACAGUCAGAUAUAAAUUCUUCAGGGUAGAGGCAAUAUCUUACAAUAUACUUCCACAACAGCAUCCUGGUAAUUUUCAGAGCUCAUAUCAUAUAAAAGAAGGAUAAUUAAUGGCUGGUGACUGGUGUCUGAAAUUGGGAUCAUAGCUACAUGUCUGCUGCUAGAGCUUUCAAACGGGAUGAGACAGUUAUUUCCAUGAUAGGACAGCUUACUUUUCCAUCCCUAUCAUGAGGAUUAACGCACACGCUGCUAGCAAGGACCCACUGAGGGUCUAGAAGUGUUACAGAUGAUAAGUGUGUAACAGGAAAGUCAAUUAUCAGCUAGUAGAUCCUGGUGUUACCUUCCAAGGCACAGAAUUAUAGCCUGCCACUUGCCUUUUGCAGGUCAUCUUUCACAGUGUUGCAGACCCACAUUAAAAUGACUUGUGACUAACGACAGAGCGGGGCUUAGUGCCUCUUUAUCACUCUGCAGUGAAAGGAAGGUCUUCACUUUAAUAUUGUAGAGAAAGCCUCGCAAUUGAGACUUCAGACCAGCUACAGAAGAUUUGCAUGGCUAAAAAGAAUUGCUUGGUUUAUGUUUUGACACAAUUCAGCACACUGCUUGCAUUAUUCAAACAGCCUGACAAAAUCUACGUUUUAUUUCUUUUUUUUUUUUUUUAAUUUUACACUCACUGCAGUAAAUGUUUGCUUUGGUCCAUUACCUGCUUGGACUAGUCCUUGCAGUGUAAAUUCUGUACUAAAUCAUUCAGAAAAAGCAGGGGGGUUUAUGAUGUAUUUUAAAAAGUAGGUCAGUGGUGCAGCUUCUGUAGGAUAUGCAUUUAAGGAAAAGAAAAUAAAAAAUAAAUAGAAUGGCAAGAAAAGGAAAACUGAGAAAUACACACUUGAGGGGUACCUCUCCUGGAAAGAGAUGAGUUGUCUGUGACCUCUACAACUGUUUAUAUACUGGUUAAGGAAAAAAAAACCCUAAAGGACAAAUAGCAAGAAGCUCUCAUCCUCACUGCUUCCCCCUCUACAGCUGAUUUCAUAGAAUCAUGGAAUCAUAGAAUCAUAGAAUCAUAGAAUCGCUAAGGUUGGAAAAGACCCACAGGAUCAUCCAGUCCAACCAUUCGCCCUUCACCAAUGGUUCCCGCUAAACCAUGUCCCUCAACACAACUUCCAAACGCUCUUUGAACACCACCAGGCUCGGUGACUCCACCACCUCUCUGGGCAGCCCAUUCCAGUGCCUGACCACCCUUUCAGAGAAGUAGUACUUCCUAACGUCCAGCCUGAACCUUCCCUGGAGCAGCUUGAAGCCAUUCCCUCUAGUCCUAUCACUAGUCACCCG